Molecule: ribosomal RNA, 497 nt
Filed under: uncultured bacterium
Lineage: Bacteria
Description: partial 16S ribosomal RNA
Rfam family: Bacterial small subunit ribosomal RNA
Source: RNAcentral
GAUGAACGCUGGCGGCGUGCCUAAUACAUGCAAGUCGAGCGAACGGACGAGAAGCUUGCUUCUCUGAUGUUAGCGGCGGACGGGUGAGUAACACGUGGAUAACCUACCUAUAAAACUGGGAUAACUUCGGGAAACCGGAGCUAAUACCGGAUAAUAUUUUGAACCGCAUGGUUCAAAAGUGAAAGACGGUCUUGCUGUCACUUAUAGAUAGAUCCGCGCUGCAUUAGCUAGUUGGUAAGGUAACGGCUUACCAAGGCAACGAUGCAUAGCCGACCUGAGAGGGUGAUCGGCCACACUGGAACUGAGACACGGUCCAGACUCCUACGGGAGGCAGCAGUAGGGAAUCUUCCGCAAUGGGCGAAAGCCUGACGGAGCAACGCCGCGUGAGUGAUGAAGGUCUUCGGAUCGUAAAACUCUGUUAUUAGGGAAGAACAUAUGUGUAAGUAACUGUGCACAUCUUGACGGUACCUAAUCAGAAAGCCACGGCUAACUACGUG